RNAcentral lists this non-coding RNA (29 nucleotides) under Rattus norvegicus (Norway rat). The record is from RNAcentral. Lineage: Eukaryota; Metazoa; Chordata; Mammalia; Rodentia; Muridae.
UAGCAGGCCCAUCGAGGAUAGCCCUCCCC